RNAcentral lists this ribosomal RNA (277 nucleotides) under uncultured prokaryote. RNAcentral describes it as "partial 16S ribosomal RNA". It matches the Rfam family "Bacterial small subunit ribosomal RNA", at positions 355 to 624 of the family's 1533-position model. The record is from RNAcentral.
UGGGGAAUAUUGGGCAAUGGGCGAAAGCCUGACCCAGCGACGCCGCGUGGGGGAUGAAGGUCUUCGGAUCGUAAACCUCUGUCAGGAGGGGCGAACGUUUCAGGGUUAAUAACCCUGAAAUCUGACGGUACCUCCAAAGGAAGCCCCGGCUAACUCCGUGCCAGCAGCCGCGGUAAUACGGAGGGGGCGAGCGUUAUUCGGAAUUACGUGGCGUAAAGCGCGCGCAGGUGGUGCGAUAAGUGGCAGGUGAAAUCACUCGGCUUAACCGGGGAACGGC